GAUGAAGAACGUAGCGAAAUGCGAUAAGUAAUGUGAAUUGCAGAAUUCAGUGAAUCAUCGAAUCUUUGAACGCACAUUGCGCCCCCUGGUAUUCCGGGGGGCAUGCCUGUUCGAGCGUCAUUUCAACCCUCAAGCUCUGCUUGGUAUUGAGUCCAUGUCAGCAAUGGCAGGCUCCAAAAUCAGUGGCGGCGCCGCUGGGCCCUGAACGUAGUAAUAUCUCUCGUUACAGGUGCUCGGCGUGCUUCUGCCAAAACCCCAAUUUUUCUAUGGUUGACCUCGGAUCAGGUAGGACUACCCGCUGAACUUAAGCAUAUCAAUAAGCGGAGGA
Molecule: unclassified non-coding RNA, 328 nt
Filed under: soil metagenome
Description: partial contains 5.8S ribosomal RNA, internal transcribed spacer 2, and large subunit ribosomal RNA
Rfam family: 5.8S ribosomal RNA (bases 1-120)
Source: RNAcentral